GCCAGGUGCUGAUGGGUGUUAGGCUUUGUUUUCCUGGUGCUCAGGCUCGGCUUCCACCUGUGCAAGAAGAGAGCUCCUGAAUCAACAAUGGCUGCAGCCUCUUCCCGUGGCCUCGAAUCCAGCCAGGAUCCCCGGCUCUGUCCCCGCGCUGAUUUUGGAGGAGGUCGAGUGUCCCCUCCAGCCCAACUGUCACUCUGCCCCCGCCCAGCUGCUCCCAGUGUUCCCAAUAAAGCUUCCCAGUGCG
This is a long non-coding RNA of Oenanthe melanoleuca, 244 nucleotides long. RefSeq lists it as uncharacterized. Lineage: Eukaryota; Metazoa; Chordata; Aves; Passeriformes; Muscicapidae. The transcript is spliced from 2 exons. The record is from RefSeq and is a predicted model, not a curated record.